GGGUAUGUAAUCGCGGCCGGAACAUUUGUUCCGGGUGAGGAAAGUCCGGGCUUCACAGGGCAGGAUGCCGGAUAACGUCCGGCGGGGGCAACCCCAGGACCAGUGCAGCAGAAAAUUACCGCCCGCAAGGGUAAGGGUGAAAAGGCAGUGUAAGAGACUACCGCCGUCCUGGUAACAGUACGGGCAGAUGUAAACUCCAUCCGAAGCAAGGCCAAACAGGGGACGAUGCGGCGGCCCGUCGCGUCUCCGGGUAGGUCGCUUGAGGCUGCAGGCAACUGCAGUCCUAGACAGAUGAUUACACACGACAGAACCCGGCUUAUCGCCCUG
Molecule: RNase P RNA, 327 nt
Filed under: bovine gut metagenome
Description: Bacterial RNase P class A
Rfam family: Bacterial RNase P class A
About the family: Ribonuclease P (RNase P) is a ubiquitous endoribonuclease, found in archaea, bacteria and eukarya as well as chloroplasts and mitochondria. Its best characterised activity is the generation of mature 5'-ends of tRNAs by cleaving the 5'-leader elements of precursor-tRNAs. Cellular RNase Ps are ribonucleoproteins.
Source: RNAcentral